Molecule: long non-coding RNA, 1307 nt
Filed under: Betta splendens (Siamese fighting fish)
Lineage: Eukaryota; Metazoa; Chordata; Actinopteri; Anabantiformes; Osphronemidae
Description: lncRNA (ENSBSLG00000013824.1)
Source: RNAcentral
UUGCUCUCACUCACUGUUUUAGUGAAAUGUGCCUUUUUGAACUCUGUAAUAUUUUAAACUGACUUUGUAAAGGCAGGGUGGUGCGGUGGGUAGCACUGUCGCCUCACAGCAAGACGGUCCUGGGUUUGAUUCCCUGAAGCGGACUGGGUGCCAACAUGCACCUAAAAACAUGUGUUAGGUUGAACGGUCACUCUAAAUUGCCUGUAGGUAUGAGUGUGGGUGUGAAUGGUUGUUUGUGUAUGUGUGGCCCUGUGAUGGACUGGCGACCUGUCCAGUGAUGGACUGAGUCGUCUACAGUCACGACUGUGCGGUUUUUGUCACUCACUGGGUGGUAGAGCCAAGCUUCAUUUAAAUAUUACACUGGAACUGUUAUGUCGGCAGCCGGGCUUUCUGGUUUUGGGCUUUUAUUGUCGUGGAUUUUGUUUUGCAUCCGGUUGUUUCGUUCCUGUUCCUUGGCUUGUUGAUUGUUUUCACCGGUGCCUCAUUAGUCGGACUAUUUAGCCCUUCCGUUUCCGAGGCAUCCUUGUCGGUUUAUUGUUCGCCCACAGCUGUUUGAAGCCGUCCAGGUUUGACCAAGUUAUUUCGCCUUGUGACCAUAGUCCUCGCUGUUGUAUUUUUUCACGUUGACUUAGAUUUUGUUUGUGCUGGCCACGCCAGUUUUCCGUACUUUGAACGCGCUUUGAGUUUACGGUCUUUUUUUUCUGUUCGCACGGUGAGCAUUUUGCCCAUGCCAUUUCGGACUAAAAAGGACACUGACGUGAGGACGGUCCUCCGUCGUUCGGAUCGCGCGCUAUUAGCCGUCGGACCCGGUAUUGUUACGUGAAGCGCUGUGCGCGCACCAUUGUGCUCCUCCACAGACACCGUGGGAAGGAACCUCCGGAGUAACGCUGGAACGAGGACCCGGUCCCCACAGCCACGCCAUCGCUGUUCCUCAACCUGCCUCAUGCUCGGAGCUUCACCUCGCGUUUGCCCUGUUUUACCAGGGACGCUACUAUCUAGGACGAGUUUACGCCCACGCACCCUUGUUUCCUUUUUCUGUAAAUAAAACCCUUUUGUGUGCAUACUAGGUCUCUGACUCGGUUCUGUGGAACACUCCCUGGGGGUCCAGCUGCGCACUUAAUGGUGCACAGGGUAACAUUUCUCUGACAGGAACCAAUUAUCUAUACGAGUAUUUAUAUCCACAUUACAGAAGGUCUAACUAUUAAAAUAUUAAAUAUGAAUUCUGUAGCUAUAACAAAUGAACACAACCAAAAAAAACUAAAAAGAAUUAAUAAUGACAUUAAUAAACUGGUUCCUCGAAUGAGGCA